AUGCAAGUCGAACGCGAAAGCCCCGCAAGGGGCAAGUAGAGUGGCAAACGGGUGAGUAACACGUGGGUGACCUGCCUUCGAGUGGGGGAUAACGUCCCGAAAGGGACGCUAAUACCGCAUGACAUCCUGCCUUUGAAGAGGCGGAGAUCAAAGCUGGGGAUCGCAAGACCUAGCGCUUGAAGAGGGGCCCGCGUCCGAUUAGCUAGUUGGUGAGGUAAUGGCUCACCAAGGCAACGAUCGGUAGCCGGCCUGAGAGGGCGGACGGCCACACUGGGACUGAGACACGGCCCAGACUCCUACGGGAGGCAGCAGUGGGGAAUUGUUCGCAAUGGGCGCAAGCCUGACGACGCAACGCCGCGUGGAGGAUGAAGAUCUUCGGGUCGUAAACUCCUGUCGAAUGGGACGAACGGGUUGCGGGUUAACAGCCCGCGACCGUGACGGUACUGUUAAAGGAAACCCCGGCUAACUCCGUGCCAGCAGCCGCGGUAAUACGGGGGGGGUAAGCGUUGUUCGGAAUUACUGGGCGUAAAGGGCUCGUAGGCGGCCAACUAAGUCAUACGUGAAAUCCCUCAGCUUAACUGGGGAACUGCGUGUGAUACUGGAUGGCUUGGAUUUGGGAGAGGGAUGCGGAAUUCCAGGUGUAGCGGUGAAAUGCGUAGAUAUCUGGAGGAACACCGGUGGCGAAGGCGGCAUCCUGGACCAAUAUUGACGCUGAGGAGCGAAAGCCAGGGGAGCAAACGGGAUUAGAUACCCCGGUAGUCCUGGCCCUAAACGAUGAAUGCUUGGUGUAGCGGGUAUCGAUCCCUGCUGUGCCGAAGCUAACGCAUUAAGCAU
This 834-nucleotide ribosomal RNA is filed under the name uncultured Bacillota bacterium. Its description in RNAcentral is "bacterial SSU rRNA". It matches the Rfam family "Bacterial small subunit ribosomal RNA", at positions 55 to 867 of the family's 1533-position model. Lineage: Bacteria; Bacillati; Bacillota. The record is from RNAcentral.